This 253-nucleotide ribosomal RNA is filed under the name uncultured bacterium. RNAcentral describes it as "partial 16S ribosomal RNA". It matches the Rfam family "Bacterial small subunit ribosomal RNA", at positions 524 to 776 of the family's 1533-position model. The record is from RNAcentral.
UACAGAGGGUGCGAGCGUUGUUCGGAAUUACUGGGCGUAAAGCGGGUGUAGGCGGUUUAUUAAGUCAGAUGUGAAAUCCCGGGGCCUAACUCCGGAAGUGCAUUUGAAACUAAUAAGCUGGAGUGAUGUAGAGGAUGGCGGAAUACCCAGUGUAGAGGUGAAAUUCGUAGAGAUUGGGUAGAACACCGGUGGCGAAGGCGGCCAUCUGGGCAUUAACUGACGCUGAGACGCGAAAGCGUGGGGAGCAAACAGG